This 550-nucleotide ribosomal RNA is filed under the name uncultured bacterium. Its description in RNAcentral is "bacterial SSU rRNA". It matches the Rfam family "Bacterial small subunit ribosomal RNA", at positions 355 to 896 of the family's 1533-position model. The record is from RNAcentral.
UAGGGAAUCUUCGGCAAUGGACGGAAGUCUGACCGAGCAACGCCGCGUGAGUGAAGAAGGUUUUCGGAUCGUAAAGCUCUGUUGUAAGAGAAGAACGAGUGUGAGAGUGGAAAGUUCACACUGUGACGGUAUCUUACCAGAAAGGGACGGCUAACUACGUGCCAGCAGCCGCGGUAAUACGUAGGUCCCGAGCGUUGUCCGGAUUUAUUGGGCGUAAAGCGAGCGCAGGCGGUUAGAUAAGUCUGAAGUUAAAGGCUGUGGCUUAACCAUAGUACGCUUUGGAAACUGUUUAACUUGAGUGCAAGAGGGGAGAGUGGAAUUCCAUGUGUAGCGGUAAAAUGCGUAGAUAUAUGGAGGAACACCGGUGGCGAAAGCGGCUCUCUGGCUUGUAACUGACGCUGAGGCUCGAAAGCGUGGGGAGCAAACAGGAUUAGAUACCCUGGUAGUCCACGCCGUAAACGAUGAGUGCUAGGUGUUAGACCCUUUCCGGGGUUUAGUGCCGCAGCUAACGCAUUAAGCACUCCGCCUGGGGAGUACGACCGCAAGGUUG